AUUACGGUUUGCUAGGCGUUAGGUGUUAGGCAUAGGGCGAUAGGCGGCGCGGCUAACCAUUCUCUUCCAGGUACAAACUAACCUUCUCUUCCAGGUACAUGUUAAUUAUCUAGUCUUCCCCAGUAAUGCCCUGGUUAGCGCACCGUGGCGGCGAUCCAGGAGCCUCGUGCUGGUGGCGGUGGUGGUGGCGUGGCUGGCUGGCUGGCGGGCGUGCACGUGCUAUCAUAUGGGUUGCGUGGUAGGUGCGUUCACUGGUCUGGGCUGUGUUGGUGCGUGUUCUGAAGAGAUGACCGCAGACACGCUGGCAGCUGAUGACUAGACCCGCACAGAGGCAGUGUACUGUACAAGCUGGAUGGAAGUAUGCAAACCUCGCAAUGAAGAUGGAAAAGGUCCACAGAAAACGACACGCCAAUUUAUUUGAAGUCAAGGACGGAGAUUAAACCGGCCUUGAAAAACACCAUACCCGUUUUGUCCACCGCCAUCACCACCUUCUCCCAGAUCAAGGACAAAGUGUAUUACAGACUCACACAUAAGGAAGAGGUGCAUGCCAUGAGGGAGGCGGUGGAGGUGUGGGGGGUUCAGCACACCAUCACAGACAACCUGCAGUUCAUGCUUGGGAUGGGACACACUGGGACAGCCUCGGACAUUCUUUGUAUAUUAGGUCCUUUAGUUCUGGCACCAUCUUUUUAGCAAUCUUCUGUAUCCGUUCUAAUCUUCUUAUAUCCUUUUCAGAACUC
Portunus trituberculatus (swimming crab) is the source of this 737-nucleotide long non-coding RNA. RefSeq lists it as uncharacterized. The transcript is spliced from 4 exons. The record is from RefSeq and is a predicted model, not a curated record. Lineage: Eukaryota; Metazoa; Arthropoda; Malacostraca; Decapoda; Portunidae.